RNAcentral lists this long non-coding RNA (207 nucleotides) under Vicia faba (fava bean). The record is from RNAcentral. Lineage: Eukaryota; Viridiplantae; Streptophyta; Magnoliopsida; Fabales; Fabaceae.
AUGGCAAGAGAUAUUAAGAUGGACGAAGAUCAAUUCUGCUCUUCACCAUACAGCAUUGGAAAAUUACAAUUUUCAAGAUUGGUCGACAUUGGCAGGGGAAUGUUGGCAAUGAUAUGGUGGCUUAAAUUUGACCGAAGAAAUUUUCACCAAGUGGCUGCUGAAGGCCUGUGUGAUGGAGUUCUUGUAACAUCACUGCUUGAUGGUUGA